UUGCACCUGGUGGCGAGUGGCGAACGGGUGAGUAAUACAUCGGAACAUGUCCUGUAGUGGGGGAUAGCCCGGCGAAAGCCGGAUUAAUACCGCAUACGAUCUACGGAUGAAAGCGGGGGACCUUCGGGCCUCGCGCUAUAGGGUUGGCCGAUGGCUGAUUAGCUAGUUGGUGGGGUAAAGGCCUACCAAGGCGACGAUCAGUAGCUGGUCUGAGAGGACGACCAGCCACACUGGGGCUGAGACACGGCCCAGACUCCUACGGGAGGCAGCAGUGGGGAAUUUUGGACAAUGGGCGAAAGCCUGAUCCAGCAAUGCCGCGUGUGUGAAGAAGGCCUUCGGGUUGUAAAGCACUUUUGUCCGGAAAGAAAUCCCUGGCUCUAAUACAGUCGGGGGAUGACGGUACCGGAAGAAUAAGCACCGGCUAACUACGUGCCAGCAGCCGCGGUAAUACGUAGGGUGCGAGCGUUAAUCGGAAUUACUGGGCGUAAAGCGUGCGCAGGCGGUCUGUUAAGACAGAUGUGAAAUCCCCGGGCUCAACCUGGGAACUGCAUUUGUGACUGGCAGGCUAGAGUAUGGCAGAGGGGGGUAGAAUUCCACGUGUAGCAGUGAAAUGCGUAGAGAUGUGGAGGAAUACCGAUGGCGAAGGCAGCCCCCUGGGCCAAUACUGACGCUCAUGCACGAAAGCGUGGGGAGCAAACAGGAUUAGAUACCCUGGUAGUCCACGCCCUAAACGAUGUCAACUAGUUGUUGGGGAUUCAUUCUCCUUAGUAACGUAGCUAACGCGUGAAAGUUGACCGCCU
RNAcentral lists this ribosomal RNA (800 nucleotides) under uncultured bacterium. RNAcentral describes it as "bacterial SSU rRNA". It matches the Rfam family "Bacterial small subunit ribosomal RNA", at positions 79 to 874 of the family's 1533-position model. The record is from RNAcentral.